GCUGGUAUGGCUCAGUUGGUAGAGCAGCUGAUUCGUAAUCAGCAGGUCGCCGGUUCAAGUCCGGCUACCAGCUCCA
This 76-nucleotide transfer RNA is filed under the name Clostridiales bacterium. RNAcentral's name for it is "tRNA-Thr". It matches the Rfam family "tRNA". Rfam says of the family: Transfer RNA (tRNA) molecules are approximately 80 nucleotides in length. Their secondary structure includes four short double-helical elements and three loops (D, anti-codon, and T loops). Further hydrogen bonds mediate the characteristic L-shaped molecular structure. tRNAs have two regions of fundamental functional importance: the anti-codon, which is responsible for specific mRNA codon recognition, and the 3' end, to which the tRNAs corresponding amino acid is attached (by aminoacyl-tRNA synthetases). tRNAs cope with the degeneracy of the genetic code in two manners: having more than one tRNA (with a specific anti-codon) for a particular amino acid; and 'wobble' base-pairing, i.e. permitting non-standard base-pairing at the 3rd anti-codon position. Lineage: Bacteria; Bacillati; Bacillota; Clostridia; Eubacteriales. The record is from RNAcentral.